AGAGAGAGACAUGCGCGCAUAUCAAUAAGCGGAGGAAAAGAAACUAACUAGGAUUCCCUCAGUAACGGCGAGUGAAACGGGAAGAGCUCAAAUUUGAAAUCUUCAAGGUUCUACCUUGACGAAUUGUAGUUUAAAGAAGUGUUUUCUGUUGAAGUUUUGGUAAAAGUUCUUUGGAAUAGGACAUCAUAGAGGGUGAGAAUCCCGUAUUUGACCAUUAUUUUCCAGCUUUGUGAUACACUUUCAAAGAGUCGGAUUGUUUGGGAAUGCAGUCCAAAAUGGGUGGUAAAUUUCAUCUAAAGCUAAAUAUUGGCGAGAGACCGAUAGCGAACAAGUACCGUGAGGGAAAGAUGAAAAGAACUUUGAAAAGAGAGUUAAACAGUACGUGAAAUUGUCAAAAGGGAAGCGUUUGACACCAGUGUUGUUUUCUCGAAAAUCAAUUAAAAAAGGCAGGAUUUUGUGUUGUAUUGACUUUAUCAGCUUUCUGCACUCUUUUCUUGUCUUUUUUAAUGCACUUCUCGUUUAACAAGUCAACAUCAAUUUCUUUUGUUGUAAAAGGGUCAUUGGAAGGUGGCUUUCUUUUCGGAGAAAGUGUUUAUAGCCUUUGGCCUCUGCAAUCGGAGAGAUUGAGGUCUGCAGCGUAGAUCCUUCGGGGUUAGAUACAUUUGUGCUAAGUUAUAGCCUUUCAUAGACAACUUGUUGACUAUGAUCAGUCAUGUAGCUUACUCGCUUAUGCUAUUUUACCUACGCUUAGGAUGUUGAAGUCAUCGUAUCGCGC
RNAcentral lists this ribosomal RNA (775 nucleotides) under uncultured Neocallimastigales. RNAcentral's name for it is "partial large subunit ribosomal RNA". It matches the Rfam family "Eukaryotic large subunit ribosomal RNA", at positions 23 to 645 of the family's 3401-position model. Lineage: Eukaryota; Fungi; Neocallimastigomycota; Neocallimastigomycetes; Neocallimastigales. The record is from RNAcentral.